AUGCGCUCUUGCACCAUUUUCCGGGCAAUAAUGGCGUCCUACAGGGCGCUGUGCAGGUUACAUCUGAGGGGACAGGGGAGCUUCAUGACAUGUGUACAGAAAGCCCAUAUAUGUGUAUCACGAAGUGUCGGAACAAAAGUCGUGGCCACACAAGCUGAGGACUCUGGGAAAGACGAAAGAGAGGAAAAGGCCGGACCAAAGUCUUUAUCUGCUUUCCUGGUUGAGAGACAAGAACAGGCAGAGAGAUCUGUUCUUAUCAGCUGCCACCCCAAAACCAGUGAGAAAAAGUUCCUCAAGUAUUUAUCUCGACAUGGAGACAUCAAGAAGCACUUCUUUUAUGACAGUUAUGGGACCUACGCGGUGGUGGAGUUUUCUACCCAGGACGGUGUCAGGUCGUUACUGGACGCUGCUGUCAUUCCCAGCGUAAGCCAUGAAUCCGCAGUGCCUUUUAAAUCCAGGCUGCUUUCAUUAAGGACCACCGGUGCUGUGAACCAGAGCGACCAACAGCCGGGCCUUCAGUGCCGACCGCAGAGCACCGUCCCCAUCAGUGAGCUGAUCCAGACACUGGCCCGACAGGAGACUGUGGAUCAGCAGAUCAUGUGUCUGACCCAGGCCUAUCAGCUGACGGAGGAGAACAGCCGGCUGCGCUUCCUCGUCUGCUCGCUGCUCAAGGAUAUUGCCGCCGCUUAUUUCCCAGAAUGCACCGUCAAGCCGUUCGGUUCGUCUGUGAAUGGCUUCGGAAAGUUGGGCUGUGACCUGGACAUGUUCCUGGAUCUGGAUGACAUCAGCGGGAGGGACGUGCAGACGCCAAAGUCUUCUCUGUCGGUGGAGUACCAGAUGAAGCGGGCCACUUCGGAGCGGGCCGUCACCCAGAGCAUCCUGUCUGUCAUCGGGGAGUGUGUGGACCAGUUCGGACCCGGGUGUGUGGGGGUCCAAAAGAUUCUGAAUGCCAGGUGUCCCCUGGUCCGCUUUUCCCAUCAGCCCUCUGGGUUUCAGUGCGACCUGACCGUCAAUAACAGGGUGGCGCUGAAGAGCACAGAGCUGCUCUACCUGUACGGCCUCCUGGACCGCCGUGUGCGCCUCCUGGUGUUCAGCGUGCGCUGCUGGGCUCGGGCCCACAGCCUCACCAGCUCCAUCCCCGGGGCCUGGGUCACCAACUUCUCCCUGACCGUCAUGGUGCUCUUCUUCCUGCAGAGGAGGAGCCCCCCCAUCAUCCCCCCCCUGGACCACCUCCGACAGCUCGCAGGUCCGGCCGACAGAAGCGUGAUCGAAGGGAACGACUGCACGUUCGUCAGCGACUUCAGCAAAAUCCAGCUGCAGACCAACACGGAAACACUGGAACAACUGCUGAAUGACUUCUUUGAGUUCUACAGCACCUUCCCAUUCGGCAAAAUGUCCAUCAAUAUCAGAAAGGGUAAAGAGCAGAACAAACCGGAGGUGGCGCCGCUGCACAUCCAGAACCCGUUCGAAACCUCCCUGAACGUCAGUAAGAACGUCAACUCGUCCCAGCUGGAGCGCUUCGUGGCGCUGUGUCGGGAGAGCGCCUGGCUGCUGCAGCAGAGGGACGCCCCCCCGGCCGGGGCCGCAGACGGGACCCCCCCGGCCUGGGGACUGGCCACCCUGCUGCUGCCGUCCCAGGUGGGAGGAGUCAAAAGUCGAAGGAAAAGGAAAAGGGAACCGGCCAGCGAACGCAUCAAGAGUUUAUUAGAGUCUUUGAAGAGUAAAAACAGUCCAAAGAACAGCUGAUGGACAAACAGCUGAUGGACGAACAGCUGAUGGACGAACAGCUGAUGGACGAACAGCUGAUGGACGAACAGCAGGUGGACACAUGGACAGGGUCAGGUCUGGACUCAGAUGUCCACACCCGUCCACACUGGACUGACCACUGGGGGGCGUCCACACUGGACUGACCACUGGGGGGCGUCCACACUGGACUGACCACUGGGGGGCGUCCACACUGGACUGACCACUGGGGGGUGCCUGUGAGCCCUGGUGAACAGAGAAUCAGACUCAGAGUUUGAAAUGACAGAAUAAAUCCUAACCCAAACCUAAUGUUGGUCAGUGUUUAAUCUGGAUCUGGAUCUGGAUCUGGAUCUGGAACCCACAGGUUUGUAUUUAUCAGAUCAGGUCAUCAAUCACAGAAUCAAUCCAGGUUUUGUGCCAAAUUUUCAAAUUAAUAUCGGAUUGAAUGUCCCUGAUCAGGAUUCAGUUUAAUAUGACAGAACAGAUGUGGAAUCAGAAAAAAGAGUUUUAUGACAUUUAUGAGUUGAGUUUGAUCAUGUUCUGUGUGUGUGUGUGUGUGUGUGUGUGUGUGUGUGUGUGUGUGUGUGUGUGUGUGUGUGUGUGUGUGUGUGUGAGCUGCCUGGGUGCAGGUCUGCUGUCAGACUGCUUCUACAGAAUGUCCCAUAAGUCUCCAUGCAUAGGAGACAUAACACAUAUGGUUCUAACAUGUGUUUCUUUCUAUUUCUUCUUUAUAGUUCUCCAGCAGUGGAGGACAUGCAUUGAAAUGUGUUCCCGACAAACUGGCAGUCAUAUAGAGCAUGUUAUAGAAAUAAAAAUGGUUUAUGUCCAGAAGUGUUUGUUUUUCCUGUGUGUGCAGACUUAUGGGACAGCCUGUGUAUACUCACACCACACACACACACACACACACACACACACACACACAC
Sphaeramia orbicularis (orbiculate cardinalfish) is the source of this 2666-nucleotide RNA transcript. It is a transcript of the gene named poly(A) RNA polymerase, mitochondrial-like, with no coding region annotated. Lineage: Eukaryota; Metazoa; Chordata; Actinopteri; Kurtiformes; Apogonidae. The record is from RefSeq and is a predicted model, not a curated record. The transcript is spliced from 12 exons.